RNAcentral lists this ribosomal RNA (1422 nucleotides) under Enteroctopus dofleini (giant Pacific octopus). Its description in RNAcentral is "16S ribosomal RNA". The stretch from base 1131 to 1290 matches the Rfam family "Bacterial large subunit ribosomal RNA", at positions 2473 to 2632 of the family's 2925-position model. The record is from RNAcentral. Lineage: Eukaryota; Metazoa; Mollusca; Cephalopoda; Octopoda; Octopodidae.
GAAAUUUAAUUUUAUUUUGAAUAAAUUAUAAUGUUAAUAUAAAAAGUUUGUUAUUAUUUAGUAUAUAGUUGGGAAAAUUUUAUUGUUUUGUACUGAAAAGGAUAUAAUAAGUUUGUUUUAUUAUAGUAAAAAUUAGAUUUUGUAUCUUUUGCAUAAUAGUUUAAUAAUAUAAUUAUUUGAUAAUUAUUUCUCGAAAUAGAAGGAUUUAUAUAUUAGAUUUUUAUUUUAAUUAUAUGAUAAUUAAAGUAAAAUUGUUUGUUAACGUGGUAUAGUUAUAUAAUUAAUAAUAUAUGGUAGUGAAACGCUAUUCGAUUUUUAAGAUAGCUAGUUUAUUAUUAUAUCAUUUUAGUGAAUGUUGGAAUAAAUUAUUUAGGUAAAUUAUUUUUAUAUAUAUAUUGGGGGAUAAGCUUCUUAUAAGUUAGUGAGAUUAAUUAUUAUUUUAUUUGAUAUUAAAGUUGAAUUAAUAGUUCUUUUUAUAUUUAUAAUAAUGUUAAAAUUAAAUAAAUUAUUUAAUCUUUAUUAUAUUAAGAUAGUAAAUUAUUUUUAAUUUUUUAAAAUUAAAUAUAAUGUUAAAAUGAGUAUUGUGUUAAUGUAUAUAUAUAAUAAUUAAUAUAUUUAAUUUAAUUAAAAAUUAUUAGUGAGGUAUAUAAUAAAAAUUAAUUAAAAUAAAGGAAUUCAGCAAAUAUUAAUUUCGCCUGUUUAUCAAAAACAUGUCUCUUUGAAAAUUUAAUAAUAAAGAGUUUGGCCUGCUCAGUGAGAUUUUUAACAGCUGCGGUAUUAUAACUGUACUAAGGUAGCAUAAUAAUUUGCCUUAUAAAUUAAGGCUAGAAUGAAUGGUUUGACGAAAAUUAUACUGUCUCUAUUUUAAUUAAUAGAAAUUAAUUUUUAUAGUGAAAAAGCUUAGAUAAUUUAAAGGGACGAGAAGACCCUAUUGAGCUUUAUAUUAGUUAUAAUAAAUAAUAAAAAUAUAAUUUAUUUGGUUAAAUUAGUAUUAUAUUAAUAAUAUUUAUUAUGUUUAAUUUUGAUUGGGGUGAUCAAGGAAUAAAGUGGAUAUUAUUUAACUUCCUUAAAAUUUAAUUUUUUUAGAAUAAUUAACCAAUGAUAUUGCUUAUAUGAUAAGUUACCAUAGGGAUAACAGCGUAAUUUUUUUGGAGAGUUCAUAUUAAAAAAAGAGAUUGCGACCUCGAUGUUGGAUUAAAAUAACCAUAAGGUGAAGAGGCUUUAUUUGGUGAAUCUGUUCGAUUUUUAAAAUUUUACAUGAUCUGAGUUCAAACCGGUGAAAGCCAGGUUGGUUUUUAUCUUUUAAAUUUAAUUUUUAUUUAAUUUAGUACGAAAGGAUUGAUUACAAUUAAUUUUAUUUUAAUUAAUUAGAAUAAAUAAAUAUAAAGUUGGCAGAAAUAUGUGAAUAAUUUAGAAUUAUUU